AUUGAACGCUGGCGGCAGGCCUAACACAUGCAAGUCGAGCGGAUGAAGGGAGCUUGCUCCUGGAUUCAGCGGCGGACGGGUGAGUAAUGCCUAGGAAUUUGCCUGGAAGUGGGGGAUAACGUCCGGAAACGGGCGCUAAUAACGCAUACGUACUGAGGGCGAAAGUGGGGGAUCUUCGGACCUCACGCUAUCAGAUGAGCCUAGGUCGGUUUAGCUAGGUGGUGGGGUAACGGCCUACCAAGGUGCUGAUCCGAAACUGGUCUGAGAGGAUGAUCAGUCACACUGCAACUGAGACGCUGUCCAGACUUGUACGUGAGGCAGCAGUAGGAAAUAUACGACAAUGAGCGGAAGCCUGAUCCAGCCAAUCCGCGUGUGUGAAGAAGGUCUUCGCAUUGUAAAUCACUAUAACUUGGGAGGAAGAACAGUAAGUUACUACCGUGCUGUUUAGACGUUACCAACAGAAGAAGCACCGGCUAACUGCGU
This 483-nucleotide ribosomal RNA is filed under the name uncultured bacterium. Its description in RNAcentral is "partial 16S ribosomal RNA". It matches the Rfam family "Bacterial small subunit ribosomal RNA", at positions 30 to 506 of the family's 1533-position model. The record is from RNAcentral.